ACACUCCUACGGGAGGCAGCAGUGGGGAAUUUUGGACAAUGGGCGAAAGCCUGAUCCAGCAAAGCCGAGUGAGUGAAGAAGGCCUUCGGGUUGUAAAGCUCUUUUGUCAGGGAAGAAACGGUGAGAGCUAAUAUCUUUUGCUAAUGACGGUACCUGAAGAAUAAGCACCGGCUAACUACGUGCCGGCAGCCGCGGUAAUACGUAGGGUGCAAGCGUUAAUCGGAAUUACUGGGCGUAAAGCGUGCGCAGGCGGUUUUGUAAGUCUGAUGUGAAAUCCCCGGGCUCAACCUGGGAAUUGCAUUGGAGACUGCAAGGCUAGAAUCUGGCAGAGGGGGGUAGAAUUCCACGUGUAGCAGUGAAAUGCGUAGAUAUGUGGAGGAACACCGAUGGCGAAGGCAGCCCCCUGGGUCAAGAUUGACGCUCAUGCACGAAAGCGUGGGGAGCAAACAGGAUUAGAAACCCGAGUAGUCCCA
RNAcentral lists this ribosomal RNA (473 nucleotides) under uncultured organism. RNAcentral describes it as "partial 16S ribosomal RNA". It matches the Rfam family "Bacterial small subunit ribosomal RNA", at positions 333 to 797 of the family's 1533-position model. The record is from RNAcentral.